CUACGGGAUGCUCCAGGCGCGAAACCUUUACAAUGCACGAAAGUGUGAUAGGGGGAAUCAAAGUGCUCAUGUUUUCAUGGGCUUUUGUCAAGUCUAAAUUGCUUGACGAAUAAGUGGUGGGAAAGACUGGUGCCAGCCGCCGCGGUAACACCAGCGCCACAAGUGGGAACCGUUUUUAUUUGGUCUAAAGCGUCCGUAGCGGGUUUAGUAAAUUACUUGUGAAAUCGUACAGCUCAACUGUACGGACGGCAGGUAAGACUGCUAAACUAGAGAUCGGGAGACGUUGGAGGUAUUCGAGGGGGAGCGGUAAAAUGCGAGAAUCCUUCGAGGACCACCUGUUGCGAAGGCGUCCAACAAUAACGAGUCUGACCGUGAGGGACUAAAGCUAGGGGAGCGAACCGGAUUAGAUACCCCGGUAGUC
RNAcentral lists this ribosomal RNA (421 nucleotides) under uncultured archaeon. Its description in RNAcentral is "partial 16S ribosomal RNA". It matches the Rfam family "Archaeal small subunit ribosomal RNA", at positions 323 to 746 of the family's 1478-position model. The record is from RNAcentral.